CCCUACUCGUUGUCUGAGGCAGUUUCAUUCGAGGAACGAGCACUACAGCUCUAAAAUCCAACGUCUGAAAAUAGUGGCCAGAAGCUCGCAGAAAAACACCUCAAAAAUGUUUUUUCGGGUCGUCGUGAAGAGGCUCAUCACCGGAAAGAAACUGUUGAUCCACCUGGGCGACUCUGAGAAGCAGUUUAAGACCAUCACAUUGGAGCAGCUGAAGGAGAAGUUAUGCGGACAAAAUGGCUGGCCUCGAGUUGGAUCCCAAAUUGUCUUCGCGGGUAAACGACUGGAAGAUGACCGCCUGCUGUGUGAUUAUGGAAUCCAACGCAUGUUUAUGCUACACAAGCUUAAAAGGCUAAUAGAGGGAGGAGGAUUUCCAGAGAAGGGAGAUGGAGGGAUGGGUGGCAAGGACAAAAGCCAAAGUAUGGACAGGCUUGCAACAAUUUAAACCAUUUUAAUAACACAACAGAACUGCACCUCAGUUCAAGUGUCACUCUUAGUGUAACAAAAACACAAGACAUGGACAUUUUGAAGAACAAAGACUGGAAUAUAUCUACAAAAGCAAUAAUUUAAUGUCAUGAAUCCAACUCCAGUCAAUGAUCAAACUACUGGAAACUCAUCUAAAUAAAUCUGUGUAUCAAAAUUAAAUUACACAUUAAGAAGAUUUUUCAUGGAAAUAAUUCCUUUUGAUCCUAUAAUGGUUUAGAUGUAGCUCUACACUGGUGCUUCCUUGUCACUUCUAUCUCCAUCCCCUCCUCCACCACUGACUGCAGCUCAAGCACACCAGCAGACCUACGACUGCAUCUUAAACACUGUACAACUGCUCCAUGCAACACAAUGACUAGUUUUAAUGUUGGGAAUCAUGCAUGACUGAAGCAGAAACCAUCUCUGCAGGAGGAGAAUGAUACAGAAAAGCAAACCCUGCAAGCUGACAGCUGAGCAGCAUGAGAGUGGACUUACACCUGGUUUCCUGAACUGGGGACUACCUUACUGAGAGACCGCAGUUCGUCAGACUGGGCGGCUUUAUAUCGAAUACUGUGGUCAGCAGCACAGGGGGCGCCACAAGGCACUGUGCUCUCCCCUGUACUGUUCACUCUCUACACAUCUGACUUUCAGUGCGAGUCUGAGCUCUACCACAGUCAGAAGUAAUCAGAUGAUACUUUUAAUCUUGGAUGUGUGGAGGGUGGACAGGAGGGGGAGUAGAGGGGCCUGGUGGAGGACUCUGUGGGGUGAUGCAGUUCAAACCACCUGCAGCUGAACACCUCCAAGACCAAGGAGAUGGUGGUGGAUUUCAGGAGGAAUAGAGCCCAUCUCCUGCCCCAUUGUGGGCACAGACGUGGAGGUGGUCAGGACCUUUAAGUACCUGGGACUGCAGCUGGGCAAUAAACUGGAAUGUUCAGACAACACAGACAGCAUCUACAGGAAAGGACCGAGUCGUCUUUACUUCCUGAAGAGACUGGGGUCCUUCAACAUCUAUAAGCAACUGCUGCUGAUGUUUUACCAGUCUGUCAUGUCCAGUGUUCUUUUUAAUGCUUUUGUUGGGGAUCGAGCAUUAAAAAGGGGGACGCUGCACGACUGGACAGACUGAUGAGGAGAGCUGGCUCAGUGGUGGGCACAGAGUUGGACUCUAUGGUUUCAGUAGCAGAAAAGGACCCUGGAGAAGAUUCUCUCCCUCCUGGACAACACCCAGCAUCAGUCAGAGGAGUGUGUUCAGCUCCAGGCUGCUGUCUCUGACCUGCUCCACCAACAGACUCAGUACCUCUUUAGUGUCCCUGGUCGUCAGACUGUACAACUCAUCACUGAGUGGUCAGUGGGGGGUCUCAGUCAUGACUGCAUUAGGAAUGAUUGAAUGUGAUUGAAAGUGAUUUGAAGUGAUUUUGUCAGGUAGUAACCUGACAAAAUCACUUCAAAUCACUUCCAAUCACUUUAAAUCAUGGUGCCUUGAAAUGUGUAAAUAAUGUACAUUGACUUUUAAUAAAUUUAGUAUUUCUACA
Molecule: long non-coding RNA, 1988 nt
Organism: Amphiprion ocellaris (clown anemonefish)
Lineage: Eukaryota; Metazoa; Chordata; Actinopteri; Pomacentridae
Exons: 2
Source: RefSeq, a predicted model, not a curated record